GACCAGCCUGACCAACAUGGUGAAAUCCCAUCUCUACUAAAAAUACAAAAAUUAGACAGGUGUGGUGGAGGGCACCUGUAAUCCCAGCUACUCAGGAGGCUGAAGCAGGAGAAUCACUUGAACCGGGGAGGCAGAGGUUGCACUGAGCCAAGAUCAUGGCACUGCACUCCAGCCCGGGCAAGAGAGAGAGACUCUGUCUCAAAAAGAAAUACCUGAGACUGGGCAAUUUACAAAAGAAAGAGGUUUAAUGGAGUUACAGUUCCAUGUAGCUGGGGAGGCCUCACAAUCAUGGCAGAAAGCAAAGAGGAGCAAGUCACAUCUUGCAUGGAUGGUGGCAGGCAAAGGGAGAGCUUGUGUCCGGAAACUCCAGUUUUUAGACCAUCAGAUCUUGUGAAACCCACGUACUAUCAUGAGAACAGCCCAGGAAAGACGCACCUCCAGGAUUCAACCAUCCUCCACCAGCUCCCUCCCACAACACGUGGGAAUUAUGGGAGCUACAAGAUGAGGUUUGGGUGGGGACACAGAGCCAGACCCUAUCAACACCUCUCUCCUUCCGUUUCUCCCCUUGUCUCUCUCUCCUCCUCCCCGCCAUGUCUCUCCAUCUGUCUGUCCCUCCCCUUGUCUCUCCUCCAUCUCUCCUGUCUCUCCCCAUCUCUCCUGUCUCUCCAUCUCUCUCCCCCCUCUCCUGUCUCUCCC
This 696-nucleotide long non-coding RNA is filed under the name Homo sapiens (human). RNAcentral's name for it is "HSALNT0254169". The record is from RNAcentral. Lineage: Eukaryota; Metazoa; Chordata; Mammalia; Primates; Hominidae.